RNAcentral lists this long non-coding RNA (393 nucleotides) under Medicago truncatula (barrel medic). Its description in RNAcentral is "long non-coding RNA (MTRU_LNC004805)". Lineage: Eukaryota; Viridiplantae; Streptophyta; Magnoliopsida; Fabales; Fabaceae. The record is from RNAcentral.
GACCGUAUGUUUCUUCUUCUAGUUCUAGUUCUAGUUGAACUGGCAUUGACUGCAAAAGAUGACGAAUCAAAUUCAAUUCUGAGGUCGACCUAACCUUCUCUAUCUCCAAUUCGAAAGGUAUUUGCCCAUCAAUGAAAUCCUCUCUAGAAUUCCACAAUUUUUCCCUCUCAAUUGUUAGUCUAUCUAGAAAUCCAUGAAGAAGCUUCCCAGCCGGAAGAGGAGGAGGAGGAGUAUUAUGGAGUUUGCGGGAAGAGAGAAUAGGGUUCCAUGAAAACGAUGUUUUGUGAAUGUUGUGCAUAUCAGAACUGAAAUAAUAGCUAAUAACCCGUAGUUUUUGAAGGGAAAAGGCGCGCAUCAUCUUUGAUCUGCACUGCAAGGAGUGAAGCAAGGUAG